This is an RNA transcript of Cydia pomonella (codling moth), 3385 nucleotides long. It is a transcript of the gene named sorting nexin-8-like, with no coding region annotated. The record is from RefSeq and is a predicted model, not a curated record. Lineage: Eukaryota; Metazoa; Arthropoda; Insecta; Lepidoptera; Tortricidae. The transcript has 8 exons.
AGUGAACUAGUCACGUUGUUUACGUGUAACAUAUAAUUUACUUCAAUACAACUUUCUACCGACGUUUCGCAGUUGCACGGUGUGGGAAGUGUCAACAGCGGAAAGUUUCGAAGUGGAUUCCUAUCACGAUCUUCAAGUAGCGAAUGCCUUACUUAGUUCUAACUUAGCCUAAACUUUUGAUCAGUACUCACAGCAACAAUAAUGUCAAACACUGAAAUAAUAACAUUUGAAGACCUAGAGGCGACAGAUGUGAUCAGUGUUGAGUUGGUUCCCGAACGUAAAGGUCUCAUUCUGAAGCACUGUGAAUACUAUGUCAGCUCCCGGAGACACGGCACCACUGUGACGAGGAGAUACAAUGAGUUUGUUCAGCUGUAUGAUGUGCUCUAUGCCAAAUAUCCAUACCGAGCCGUAUGCCGCUUGCCCCCAAAACGCGUGGUCGUCAAUGGGGGCAGCCCCCUUUUUCUCCAACGACGCCGCGCCGCCCUCCAACGAUGGCUGACACUCAUGGCAAGACACCCCGUAUUGGCCCACGAUGCCGACUUAAGAACGUUUCUGUGCGAGGCAAACUCGAGACUCGAGAAACCGAAACAUGACGAGUUUACGUUGGCUGGAACACAAGAAAGCAGUUCUAGAGACAUGACCACAGAAGAGAUGCAGGCAGCAUUCGUGUCGAGCCAGGAGCAACUGCGGCUUGUUCAGCUGGGCUUGGACAGGCUCUUCCAAAUCUUCGAGAGAGCGGAGAGUCGCUGUGAAGCAGAGAAAGCGGAUAUAAGAGAACUCGGAGCUGGAUUGAACGCCCUUUCCGCUACCAAUGUCUCCGACACCGCCCGCUGGUCGCCCGUGCGCGAAGCGCUUAAAGUCGCUGCCGAACUGGCUGUUGAAAUGGGUGAAAAUACCACUGAAAACACAGAUUUUACAGAAGAUGGCAUUGGAGGGAGGCUCUUGUUGGCUUUAGAUGCUUUAGGAGCCUACAGGGAGCUAUGCGGCCGCCUGACGCGGGGGCUGCACGCCGAGCGCGCCGCGGCGGCCGCGCAGCACCGGCACUCGGCCGCCAGCCAGCUCCUGCGCGAGCGGCACCGGUACGCGCUGUGCUGCGCCACGCAGGUACACAGAGCAUAGAUAGAAUAUUGUCAGGGAGCUAUGCGGCCGCCUGACGCGGGGGCUGCACGCCGAGCGCGCCGCGGCGGCCGCGCAGCACCGGCACUCGGCCGCCAGCCAGCUCCUGCGCGAGCGGCACCGGUACGCGCUGUGCUGCGCCACGCAGGUACACAGAGCAUAGAUAGAAUAUUGUCAGGGAGCUAUGCGGCCGCCUGACGCGGGGGCUGCACGCCGAGCGCGCCGCGGCGGCCGCGCAGCACCGGCACUCGGCCGCCAGCCAGCUCCUGCGCGAGCGGCACCGGUACGCGCUGUGCUGCGCCACGCAGGUACACAGAGCAUAGAUAGAAUAUUGUCAGGGAGCUAUGCGGCCGCCUGACGCGGGGGCUGCACGCCGAGCGCGCCGCGGCGGCCGCGCAGCACCGGCACUCGGCCGCCAGCCAGCUCCUGCGCGAGCGGCACCGGUACGCGCUGUGCUGCGCCACGCAGGUACACAGAGCAUAGAUAGAAUAUUGUCAGGGAGCUAUGCGGCCGCCUGACGCGGGGGCUGCACGCCGAGCGCGCCGCGGCGGCCGCGCAGCACCGGCACUCGGCCGCCAGCCAGCUCCUGCGCGAGCGGCACCGGUACGCGCUGUGCUGCGCCACGCAGGUACACAGAGCAUAGAUAGAAUAUUGUCAGGGAGCUAUGCGGCCGCCUGACGCGGGGGCUGCACGCCGAGCGCGCCGCGGCGGCCGCGCAGCACCGGCACUCGGCCGCCAGCCAGCUCCUGCGCGAGCGGCACCGGUACGCGCUGUGCUGCGCCACGCAGGUACACAGAGCAUAGAUAGAAUAUUGUCAGGGAGCUAUGCGGCCGCCUGACGCGGGGGCUGCACGCCGAGCGCGCCGCGGCGGCCGCGCAGCACCGGCACUCGGCCGCCAGCCAGCUCCUGCGCGAGCGGCACCGGUACGCGCUGUGCUGCGCCACGCAGGUACACAGAGCAUAGAUAGAAUAUUGUCAGGGAGCUAUGCGGCCGCCUGACGCGGGGGCUGCACGCCGAGCGCGCCGCGGCGGCCGCGCAGCACCGGCACUCGGCCGCCAGCCAGCUCCUGCGCGAGCGGCACCGGUACGCGCUGUGCUGCGCCACGCAGGUACACAGAGCAUAGAUAGAAUAUUGUCAGGGAGCUAUGCGGCCGCCUGACGCGGGGGCUGCACGCCGAGCGCGCCGCGGCGGCCGCGCAGCACCGGCACUCGGCCGCCAGCCAGCUCCUGCGCGAGCGGCACCGGUACGCGCUGUGCUGCGCCACGCAGGAAGCGCUCCUGUCUCGUGCCUACGCACUGGCUGCUGUCGAAUCUCUUCCGUCUCUCUUCCGCACGCAAGGCGCGACGCACGCGCGCGUCGCCACUCUUUGGGCGGAUUUGCAUACAGCGCUCCGACACGCCGCCAAACCGAAAUAAACCUUGACACAAAGGUAUACACUCAAAAAUUAGAAUGCUAUCUCGAAGAUAAUAAUUAGAAUCUUAAGUCCGUUGAGCAUAGCAAUCAGAUUUAAUGAUCAUACUUCGUACUUGUCUACGUGGCGUGUUGCAAUCUCUUUCAGUCGUGCGGUGUUAAAAAGUGAUGUUUAUUUUAUAUCGUACAUGACGCCAUACAACAUAUACCAGAAGGCGUAGUAAACAUGAAAAGCAACAAAUUGUUUCACAGGUGUCACAAUAGUACAUUGUGCAACGAGGGGGGUAAGUGAAUUUUUGAAGACCCGAGGUUGCGAGGGUGGUUCUUACCCCCCGAGUUACACACAAUGUUUUUCAUCACACUUGAGAAGAAAAAACUAAAUUUUAAGCGAAAUCAUUCUUAAAUACGGUGACAUUUCAAACAUUCGUCCGCCAUAUUGUCAUUUCUUGAUAGGUUAGGCAUCGAAGGCACAGACCUAUUCGGCAUUCAGCCACGAUUGAAAAUUAUGUAAAAAUAUUUGUAACUGCUAAUAAAUUAAUCAAAUUAAAUAUUUUUAAACAAACAAACAUAUUAAAUUAUUAAUGGCAGUAUUUUUAAAGUAAAACUCAUUUACACUACGUGGUUUCUAUGAAUUCGUGACAUAUUUAAAAAAAAGUUAACUCCCUAGGGAGUUAUAGCUUUUUUGUCGCAAUCCAUAACUCCCGCGGGAACAAUGUAGGCCUUUGUCCUUCAGCUCACCUGCAUGAAAUAAGAUUUUUUUUAGCAAGUGUGAUGAAAAUAAUAUAACUGAUUUCCGACACGACCAUCCCCGCUUUGUACCCGUCCCUGAGUACGUUCCCUUCGAAAAUAUACUAGUUCG